Molecule: ribosomal RNA, 486 nt
Filed under: uncultured bacterium
Lineage: Bacteria
Description: bacterial SSU rRNA
Rfam family: Bacterial small subunit ribosomal RNA
Source: RNAcentral
AUGAACGCUAGCUACAGGCUUAACACAUGCAGUCAGGGGCAGCAUGAACAUAGCUUGCUAUGUUUGAUGGCGACCGGCGCACGGGUGCGUAACACGUAUCCAAUCUGCCCGUUACUCGGGGAUAGCCUUCUGAAAGGAAGAUUAAUACCCGAUGGCAUGUAUUUCCGGCAUCGGAGAUACAUUAAAGAUUUAUCGGUAACGGAUGAGGAUGCAUACGAUUAGCUGGUUGGCGGGGUAACGGCCCACCAAGGCGACGAUCGUUAGGGGUUCUGAGAGGAAGGUCCCCCACACUGGAACUGAGACACGGUCCAGACUCCUACGGGAGGCAGCAGUGAGGAAUAUUGGUCAAUGGUCGAGAGACUGAACCAGCCAUGCCGCGUGAAGGUCACGGCCCUAUGGGUCUUAAACUUCUUUUGUAAGGGAGCAAUAAGUCUCACGUGUGGGAUGAUGAGAGUACCUUACGAAUAAGCAUCGGCUAACUCCGUG